GAUGACGGUGUUCUUUAAAACGCUUCGAAAUCACUGGAAGAAAACUACAGCUGGGCUCUGCCUGCUGACCUGGGGAGGCCAUUGGCUCUAUGGAAAACACUGUGAUAACCUCCUAAGGAGAGCAGCCUGUCAAGAAGCUCAGGUGUUUGGCAAUCAACUCAUUCCUCCCAACGCACAAGUGAAGAAGGCCACUGUUUUUCUCAAUCCUGCAGCUUGCAAAGGGUAGUUCCGUUUGUGACUUGUUAUAUACUUGCUUUUUCUAAGGGGGAAAGAAACCACAGACUAUCAGGCAGCUAGUGAGAUUGUGUGGAAUUGGAAGAACUAGGUUUAGUACUCUUCUAGCAAUAAGAUUCAUUUGUAAUGUAGAAAUAACAGUUAAAUGAGAAAUAACUAUAAAACUAAUGGAUGCUUAGCAAACUUGUCUAAUUGAAGUUUAAUAAUCAUUCCAUGAUUAACACCUACAAAGAUGUCUUAUUUGCUUGGAAGUAGUCCCCUCGGGAGCGACUGCUGUACUGCUAGGACGUAAAUCCUUAGGCCAUCUCUGUCCACAGGAUGUUCAGAAAUGGCCAAGAAUACUGUGGGCUUGGGAGAUCAGAAAUGUUCUUUCCAAAAGAGAUGAUCCUUGAGCUAGGCCUGGGAGGAAGCAGGCAGGAGAAGACUACCCAUUCUUCUCAGCUGAGGAAACAGCCCAUGGGACAGGGGCCUGGAGACAGGAGUGACCUAGUUAUGGCUUUGUUAUGACACAGGACAGCCUUUAACUGAUCUGGCUGGCCUGGAAAUGUCAUGUGGGAAUUGUGGGAAUUAAGGUGUGAAGAAUCGUUGAGACUUGGGUAUAUAAUGAUUUGAUCAUGGCAGUUCAUUGAUUAUACAAAUGAACCACACUAAAACGUGGAGAGGCUGUAUGUGGGGGUGGGGAGUGGG
This 921-nucleotide small RNA is filed under the name Pan troglodytes (chimpanzee). RNAcentral describes it as "retained intron". Lineage: Eukaryota; Metazoa; Chordata; Mammalia; Primates; Hominidae. The record is from RNAcentral.